GCGGGACUAACCCGGCCCGGCGCGGAGGUGGGAGAUGCGGCUAAAGCGGCCCAGAGCUGCAGGAGCUGUGGAGGCUUUAUUCCUUCACCUCACUUGUGUUCACUUGGGAGCCCGUUAUGUGUCGACAUCUGAGAGCGAAGGCUUCAUUUUCCAAAUCUCUCCAAAAGGCUACCUAAAAACAAGGCCAGUGUGGCUGGAGCAUAAACAAGAGGGAAAAUGAUGAGAGAUGAAGCUGAACAUGAAACUUCUGUUGGACAGCCCUGCUCCACAGCACCAGCACACUGCAGUGCUCGCCUGUGUGGGUUUCGGGAGUUUGAGUAUAGUGAUUAAAGUCACCAAGUUGGAACCAGACUGCCUGCAUUUGAAUUCUCACUCUGCCAUUUACUAGUUGUGUGA
Non-coding RNA from Leptonychotes weddellii (Weddell seal), 396 nucleotides. The record is from RefSeq and is a predicted model, not a curated record. NCBI's taxonomy places the organism in Eukaryota, Metazoa, Chordata, Mammalia, Carnivora, Phocidae.